Molecule: ribosomal RNA, 253 nt
Filed under: uncultured bacterium
Lineage: Bacteria
Description: partial 16S ribosomal RNA
Rfam family: Bacterial small subunit ribosomal RNA
Source: RNAcentral
UACGUAGGGGGCAAGCGUUAUCCGGAUUUACUGGGUGUAAAGGGAGCGUAGACGGCGAUGCAAGUCUGAAGUGAAAGCCCGGGGCUCAACCCCGGGACUGCUUUGGAAACUGUAUGGCUGGAGUGCUGGAGAGGCAAGCGGAAUUCCUAGUGUAGCGGUGAAAUGCGUAGAUAUUAGGAGGAACACCAGUGGCGAAGGCGGCUUGCUGGACGAUGACUGACGUUGAGGCUCGAAAGCGUGGGGAGCAAACAGG